UGGCUCAAUCGGUAGAGCAUCAGACUUCUAAUCUGAAGGUUGCGGGUUCGAUCCCCG
RNAcentral lists this transfer RNA (57 nucleotides) under Mortierella sp. NVP85. Its description in RNAcentral is "tRNA-Arg". It matches the Rfam family "tRNA", at positions 8 to 62 of the family's 71-position model. Rfam says of the family: Transfer RNA (tRNA) molecules are approximately 80 nucleotides in length. Lineage: Eukaryota; Fungi; Mortierellomycota; Mortierellomycetes; Mortierellales; Mortierellaceae. The record is from RNAcentral.